UGGGGAAUUUUGGACAAUGGGGGCAACCCUGAUCCAGCAAUGCCGCGUGAGUGAAGAAGGCCUUCGGGUUGUAAAGCUCUUUUGUCAGGGAAGAAACGGUAGUAGCGAAUAACUAUUACUAAUGACGGUACCUGAAGAAUAAGCACCGGCUAACUACGUGCCAGCAGCCGCGGUAAUACGUAGGGUGCAAGCGUUAAUCGGAAUUACUGGGCGUAAAGCGUGCGCAGGCGGUUGUGUAAGUCAGAUGUGAAAUCCCCGGGCUCAACCUGGGAAUUGCAUUUGAGACUGCACGGCUAGAGUGUGUCAGAGGGGGGUAGAAUUCCACGUGUAGCAGUGAAAUGCGUAGAUAUGUGGAGGAAUACCGAUGGCGAAGGCAGCCCCCUGGGAUAACACUGACGCUCAUGCACGAAGGCGUGGGGAGCAAACAGGAUUAGAUACCCACGUAGUCCCUGAGCGGGCUGGCAAGGCGCAU
Molecule: ribosomal RNA, 472 nt
Filed under: uncultured bacterium
Lineage: Bacteria
Description: bacterial SSU rRNA
Rfam family: Bacterial small subunit ribosomal RNA
Source: RNAcentral